UGGGGAAUUUUGGACAAUGGGGGAAACCCUGAUCCAGCCAUCCCGCGUGUGCGAUGAAGGCCUUCGGGUUGUAAAGCACUUUUGGCAGGAAAGAAACGUCGUGGGUUAAUACCCCGCGAAACUGACGGUACCUGCAGAAUAAGCACCGGCUAACUACGUGCCAGCAGCCGCGGUAAUACGUAGGGUGCAAGCGUUAAUCGGAAUUACUGGGCGUAAAGCGUGCGCAGGCGGUUCGGAAAGAAAGAUGUGAAAUCCCAGAGCUUAACUUUGGAACUGCAUUUUUAACUACCGGGCUAGAGUGUGUCAGAGGGAGGUGGAAUUCCGCGUGUAGCAGUGAAAUGCGUAGAUAUGCGGAGGAACACCGAUGGCGAAGGCAGCCUCCUGGGAUAACACUGACGCUCAUGCACGAAAGCGUGGGGAGCAAACAGGAUUAGAUACCCUGGUAGUCCACGCCCUAAACGAUGUCAACUAGCUGUUGGGGUCUUCGGACCUUGGUAGCGCAGCUAACGCGUGAAGUUGACCGCCUGGGGAGUACGGUC
Molecule: ribosomal RNA, 539 nt
Filed under: uncultured bacterium
Lineage: Bacteria
Description: partial 16S ribosomal RNA
Rfam family: Bacterial small subunit ribosomal RNA
Source: RNAcentral